CCUACGGGAGGCAGCAGUGAGGAAUAUUGGUCAAUGGACGCAAGUCUGAACCAGCCAAGCCGCGUGCAGGAAGACGGUCCUAUGAGUUGUAAACCGCUUUUGUCCGAGGGCAAAUCCCGCUACGCGUAUCGUUCCGAAAGUAUCCUACGAAUAAGCAUCGGCUAACUCCGUGCCAGCAGCCGCGGUAAUACGGAGGAUCCGAGCGUUAUCCGGAUUUAUUGGGUUUAAAGGAGGCGAAGGCGGACGCUAAAGUCAGUGGUAAAAUUGUGGGGCUCAACCUAAUCGAGCAGUUGAUACUGGUUGUCUUGAGUGAGGGAGAGGUAGGCGGAAUGCGUGGUGUAGCGGUGAAAUGCAGAGAUAUCACGAAGAACUCCGAGUGCGAAGGCAGCAUACCGGAGUGUAACUGACGCUGAUACACGAAAGUGGGGGUAUCGAACAGGAUUAGAUACCCUGGUAGUC
This 459-nucleotide ribosomal RNA is filed under the name uncultured bacterium. Its description in RNAcentral is "partial 16S ribosomal RNA". It matches the Rfam family "Bacterial small subunit ribosomal RNA", at positions 338 to 795 of the family's 1533-position model. The record is from RNAcentral.